GGCGGCAGGAGGCUGCGGCCGUCCGCUGCCACAGCGUGAGACCCCAACAAGUCAAUCACUACGCCACGACAAGCCACGCCAACCAGCCCUGAGCAGAAUUAAUUGUUCUGAAGAUCCACAUUCUCCUUGGUUGGUUCCUAGAGGAUGAAAAAGAUGGCCUUAAAACUUACAAGGUAAGUCUAGCAUUCCUAUUUUCAUCCUCCCAUUCUUGGCUUCAUUCUGUAUGGGUGUAGUACUUGGAAUUUGAAUAUUUCGGUAGGUUGAACUGAGAACCAAUCGAGAAUGUCAUAUUUGAUGAGUUCAAAAAAAGAUUUUCCUGCCCUGUAUGAAUGUAUGAUGUUGCUGCUAGUGCCAAGAAGGAUGGAUGUUAUAUUGUUUUGAUGCAAUACGUCAUUAUGGAUUAAUCUCAA
Molecule: long non-coding RNA, 410 nt
Organism: Lolium rigidum
Lineage: Eukaryota; Viridiplantae; Streptophyta; Magnoliopsida; Poales; Poaceae
Exons: 2
Source: RefSeq, a predicted model, not a curated record